CUGCGAAUAUUCCUGCUCUUCUGAUUUGAUAAUAAUCAGGCAGGAUAAACAUAAGCUAUAUAAAAAAACCAGGCAUGGGCCCACAAACCUCGCUCUUUCCCUAGGUUUGGUUUUAUACAUGCUGGUGAUAAGC
This is a small nucleolar RNA of Nycticebus coucang (slow loris), 133 nucleotides long. RefSeq annotates it as small nucleolar RNA SNORA72. Lineage: Eukaryota; Metazoa; Chordata; Mammalia; Primates; Lorisidae. The record is from RefSeq and is a predicted model, not a curated record. The transcript has a single exon.